Molecule: ribosomal RNA, 332 nt
Filed under: uncultured bacterium
Lineage: Bacteria
Description: bacterial SSU rRNA
Rfam family: Bacterial small subunit ribosomal RNA
Source: RNAcentral
CAUGGCCCGUUCGUCAGCUCGUGUCGUGAGAAUGUUGGGUUAAGUUCCCCGGNUAAACCGGAGCGCAAACCCCUUGUCCCUUUAGGUUGCCAGCACGUAAUGGUGGGAACUCUAAGGAGACUGCACGGCGAUAAGCUGGAGGAAGGUGGGGAUGACGUCAAGUCCUCAUGGCCCUUACGUCCCGGGCUACACACGUGCUACAAUGGCUGGUACAACGGGCAGCGAGACCGCGAGGUGGAGCUAAUCCCUUAAAACCAGUCUCAGUUGCAGUCUGCAACUCGACUGCAUGAAGUCGGAAUCGCUAGUAAUCGCAGGAUCAGCACGCCGCGGUG